GAUCCUGUAAAAUAAUCAGAAAAGUCUGAUCAAUCUCCUUUAGGAGACCUAAAGUCAGUAACACUCUAGGAGGCCCUCAAACUCCGUUCAGACAGUCUGGUUACCGGGCAGAAGCCGGCCUGACCUUUACCUUUUCACUGUUUCAGAAGAUACAUUAUGGAGAGUAGAGAUAUCCUUAGGCUCCAAAGGAAACUCAUUUCACAAAUGCAUGUGUGCACUCCAGGUUAAGAUAAAUAUUAAGUACAAAGCCCAGCACACCAGACAGCAUCCACCGGACGGACCGUGCUCAGCAGGGCACAUGUGUCCUGUGGCUCUUCCCAUUCUUGCAGCCCUUCUUGCUUACAGUCCCUUCUAAAGCACAUGUCCGGGCCGAUGAAUAUCAUAAUUCUAGAUGAUGGAUUUCAUCUUCGUGUUGGACUGUCUACUCUCUCUGUUGCUGCCAACUCAUUUACACCGAGCACCUGACCUCUUCCACUUAAAACUGGAUAAGUCUUCAUUUUGAUAAAGUUUAAACCAGUUCUCAGCUGCAUUACUGAUUCAAACUAUUCCCCCCAGCACAUAUUCCUAAACUGCAUCUUUAAUGUGCUUCGAGUGCUAGAUCUCAUAAGCACGCCAGUGACGGAGUAUGAAUGCUUCAAAGGACAGUGUCAUCGGGUCAAAAGAAACCCCACUUUGUUCUAGAGACAAAGCUGAGGAGACGGUGUACAGCAAGUCCGUUCCAGCGUGGUUUCUUGGGACUUUAUUUGUUUAAGAAGAACAAGCAUCCCUCAUGCUACCCUGAAGUCAUUGGGAGAGGACACGCAGAGAGGAUACCUCACUCAGGAUGAUCUUUUCUACAGACUGAAAAAGGAUCUUCACCAACCCUAUAUCUGACAAAGAGCUAAUAUCCAGAAUAUAUAAAGAACUCAAAAAGUUAAACACCAGCAAAUCAAGUAAUCCAAUUAAAAAAUGGGUUACAGAGCUAAAUGGAGAAUUCUCAAUAGAGGAAUAUCAAAUGGCAGAGAAACACUUAAAGAAAUGCUCAACGUCCUUAGUCAUCAGGGAAAUGUAAAUCAAAACUAUCCUGAGAUUUCACCUUACACCCAUCAGAAUGGCUAAGAUUAAAAACUCAAGUGAGAACACAUGCUAAAGAGGAUGUGGAGAAAGGGGAACCCUCCUCUGCUGGUGGGAGUGCAAACUUGUACAACCACUUUGGAAAUCAAUCUGGCACUUUCUCAGACAAUUAGGAAUAGUGCUACCUCAAGACCCAGCUAUACCACUCCUAGGCAUAUACCCAAAAGAUGCUCAUGUAUACAACAAGGGCAUUUGCUCAACUAUGUUCAUAACAGCUUUAUUUGUAAUAGCCAGAACUUGGAAACAACCAAGAUGUCCCUCAACUGAAGAAUGUAGACAGAAAUUGUGGCACAUUUACACAAUGGAAUACUACUCAGCAAUUACAAACAAGGAAAUCAUGAAAUUUGCAGGCAAAUGGUGGGAACUAGAAAACAAUGACUAUUUUAAAACAAGGAAUUUACAAGCCCAGCAGAGGUGAUGCACACCUUUAAUGCCAGCACUUGGGAGGCAGAGGCAGGCCGAUUUGUGUAAGUUCUCUGUAAGAGCGAGCUCCUGGACAGCCAGGGCUAUGCAGAGAAACCCUGUCUCAAAAGACCAACCAACCAACCAACAAAUAAUCUCCCCCCCAAAACAACAAAAAAUCC
This is a long non-coding RNA of Meriones unguiculatus (Mongolian gerbil), 1697 nucleotides long. RefSeq lists it as uncharacterized. The record is from RefSeq and is a predicted model, not a curated record. NCBI's taxonomy places the organism in Eukaryota, Metazoa, Chordata, Mammalia, Rodentia, Muridae. The transcript has 3 exons.